RNAcentral lists this long non-coding RNA (5374 nucleotides) under Sorghum bicolor (sorghum). RNAcentral's name for it is "long non-coding RNA (SBIC_LNC002030)". Lineage: Eukaryota; Viridiplantae; Streptophyta; Magnoliopsida; Poales; Poaceae. The record is from RNAcentral.
CCAACUCAUUCCCAAACUAGCAAGAUUGUGUGCAAAGGAAUUACAAAACUUCGAGAUCUUACAGACAUUUAAGCAAUUAAAACUCUCCUGAAGAAAGCUAUGGAUCUUUGAAAACAAACCGCCACCAACAGAAAAAUCACAAGCCGUCGAAGUGUUCCGCGGCUUCCAACGCCUGCUUGCACGCCAUUGUUUGUGCGAGCAAGGCAUCAUGCACCUGUCUCCUGCCAGGGCUGCAAACCUUCAUGGUCACGCACUACAAAGCCCCACGCCCCACUCUUGGAGUUCUGCUUCAGGCCUUGUUUAGUUCCUAAAAAUUUUCAAAAUUUCCCAUCACAUCGAAUCUUGCGGCACAUGCAUGGUGCAUUCAAUAUAUAUGAAAAUAAAAACUAAUUACACAGUUCAUCUGUAAAUCACGAGACGAAUCUUUUAAGCCUAGUUACUCCAUAAUUGGACAAUAUUUGUCAAAUAAAAACAAAAAUGCUACAGUGUCGAAAUCCAAAAAUUUUUACGUACUGAACAAGGCCUGAAUGCACCAUCUAUAUUGAUUUUCAGAUAAUCCGGUGGCGGCGGCGACCAUCUCUGAGGAAUUGAGGUUGGUGGUGUUACAGGUUGGGCUAUCGGCAACUGUAUGUCAUUCACCAUAGUGAACAUUGAUUUUACUAUCUCCUGGCAUGUAGGCAUGAGCUCUCCCACAUUUACCUUGUUUCCCACCUCCCACCACCGUCAGAGCAGCACCGACACACUGAUGCAAAUAUCACUUCUCAUUUUCAUUAUUUCGGAUACAAACUCCUCAGCUGUGCUCAUUUGCAGUAGCUCGUAUAUGAGGAAUUUGAGUCCCAACUCUCUCCAAUAUUGACGCAUAGCUUUGCAUUUCAAAAAACAGUGGGCACCAUCCUCAUCGAAACAGAAACAAACCGGGCAUCUAGUAUUGUUAUUAUUGUUUGAACAAUUGUGAAAAAAAAGGAAAAGCACUGAACGACCACUCGUGACUAGAGACACAAAUUGGGUUCCACUCAACGCCUCUCCACCUAAGGCCCGCGACCCAUAAUUCGGGGCCCACAAUGCAUCCACGCACGGGUCCAAUCAACCUCAUAUGGCAAUGCACUUCGGCAGGCCGCCAGGGCUUGAGCUCAAGGAUGUGUAGGGCCUUGCCCCUCAAAUUUCAUCAUAAAGAAAAGUCAUGAGGAAAUAGCCAAGGAUGUUAAAUGUGGGAAUACAAUUUGAAUGGUAAUUUAAUUUCUGUUGUGAUAUAUUCUUGAAAAAAUCGAGAUAUGUUAAUGCUACUUUCUCAUCCCUUUCUUAGUUCAUAGUUUUUUUUGCAAGUUCUGUAACUAGCAUAUAGUCUUGCACAUGCAUUACUAUAAAUUUCUCAAUUGUCUUAAAGUAUGUAUUGGUCCACUAGUACAAUAUAAGGAAUAAAUACAAGCAGCAACAAAUGUAUAACCUAAUUCUAGUACAUUUCAUUUACCCAAAAUGCUAACUUCCCAAGACUUCUCAGACUCUUGUUGGUUUGGCUAAUAAGCCAUAGCUAAAUGUACUAUUUGCUGAUUUAUUAUGAGAGAAAAACACUGCUGAAUGGCUAGCAAAUUUGACAGAUAAGCUCAAGUGAACAGCUUGUUUCAAGCUCAACCUUUUCAGUACUUCCUCCAUCCAGCCUGUAAGUCGUUUUGACCUUUUCUAGGUAUAGAAAUUUACUAUGUACCUUGAUAUAUGUUGUGUAAAUAGUAGAUACAUAAUAAAACUAUGUACACAGAGAAGCCAAAAUGAUCUUCAAUUUGGAACAGGAUGAGUACUUAUUAUUGGGCAUGGAGACAAUUGAAUGUGAAAUGGGAAACCUGUGUAUAAACCCAUAUACAUCAUUGAGAGCAUGGAGAACAAAGAAGAAUAAAUUGUGGUUAGGAUGAAUGGUCAUUAUAUUGUAGUCAACUCUAGAUUAUUGUCAACUCUUUUUUCCAAACAAAUUAGGAAAAACACACUUUACCUAAGGACCAAUUAUUGUGUAUCGUUGUCCUUCAAAACCCACAAGAACACCUCAUAAUCAUUUUUUCCAAUACCUUCUUUGUAUGAACAUUAGCAGAUGGUUCAUUAGAGGCAUAGCCUCAAUAUAAUCUUGUAGUUCAUGAUGACUAUGAAAUGCAUAUGAGGCCUUUGGAUUAACAAAAAAAAAUCAGACAUUGCACUACCUUUUCUUUGUGCACCUAAAAUUGUCUACUGAGGAAUUUUUGUGUUUUCCCUUCCAAAACCACCACAAUUAUGUGAUCCCCGUCUAAGACAGAACAUCUCCCAUAGAAUCAUAGUUAUGACACAAUACAUUAUUAAUAGAUCUAAUAAUCUUCCUCUUAAAGAUAAAGAAGAAAUAUAGCACUAUCAUUUGUAUAGGACUUUCUUUUCUUCUAGGCCAAGCACCUUUGUUGUAAGUACGUGCUCUAUUUUUUGACAAGUAAGUCUGGACAUAAGACACACAUAGCAUAUCAUUCGAGAACUAAACCAAGUAAAAAUGAGAAGAUACAUCUAGACUACAAAAUCAACUAGAUAGACAUUUUGUUGUAUAGAGGUAGAGUCUAGCUAGAGUUAGGCACAAUCACCCAUUGCUCCUUGGUAGAGUUGCACGUGAUAUAGCUAGGUGGUGCGUCUGAGAUCUAGAAAUGCUAAUACUAAUAAGUAUCCCAUUGUAGGUAACCAAGACCGCACAUUUCUAGAAAGUCAAGAAACUUCCUUAUAAAGGAGAACAAAAGGUCAACAAUAAUUUUAGGUCUCUCUUGUGUCCUCUUUAGGCCCAUCUACUAGUUCAAGUGCCUAUCUAAGGCCUAGAGUUACCUAAGUUAUGGUUGACCUCCAUCAAAGUAAGCUCGCCAUAACUCUAGAAGGGCUUUUCCACAAGAUACACAACCAUUGUGAUGGUAGCUAAAACCAUGAAUGUGGCAAUAGUAACUAGCACGAUCAUGGUUGUACUUUCUAAGAAAGAUUCUUAACUCUAAGAGCAUGAGGAUCUUGGAUACCUGCUAACUCAGACACACCACCGAGAUAUAUCAUGUACAACUGUGCGACUGAACGAUGGAUGGCUAUGCUACUAUGCCUAUUUUAACUGAACUUUGCCUCUAUACCUACAAAAGGCCCAUCUAUUUCAUUUCCAAUCCAACUAUCUCCUCCCACUUCCAAUCGGUCUAGUUCUAUAACGAUGAGUUCAUGGUCACAACAUUGGUAUACACCUACUCAUGGAAAAUUACUAAUGGACUUAGCAAAGGUGCCUUUAGUAAGUAUGCCAUGGAUCUACUAUAGCUCAACUUAAUUAGCCUUUUAAAUUUGACUAACUCAAAAUAAAAACCUAGUUAAUAAAGUUGAAACAUGAAUGAAUCCUUGAUGUGUGCCCACCUUUAAUGGGACUACAGGAGAAAGGAGAUGCUCAUUGAAUGGUUGUAUUAUAAGUGAUGUUGCAUAGCACAUAUGAAGAAUGAUGCCAUUGUCAUUUCCUUGCUAUAUCAAAGCUGUUCACAUAAAUAUGGUGGAUGUAGACCGAAAAACAUGAAAAAUUAUCCUUACUAUGUUCUAGGUGCACAAAGGAAAGUAUAGUUACUAUCCAGUUUUGUUUGUCAAUAAAUUCCAAGGGUGCCAACAUUAUGUCAAAUAGUAAUGUUGGUGAACUUGAAUGUCAAAAAAUAGAUUUUUAUUACUUUUGAGUAUGUUGGAGGUAUUCCUUGUAAAUAAAUCCAAAAUAUAUACAUAGCUAUAAUAAUUAGUUUCUAAUGAACAAACACACCCAUUCUUCGUUUCCUUAUUCAUGUAACUUAAAACACGAUUAAACAUAGAAAAUAUUAAAUUCUCUAUCAUCUUACUUGGCAAACAUUAUUUCCUUAUGAACAUGAGUAUGAUAGAAUCAAAAUGAUUAAUCAUUUGUUCAUAAUGCAAAAAGAUGUGGUUAUACCAAAAUAAUUUUCAACUCAAAGGUUACUUACCUAUGCUAUUCGGUGCUUGCCACAAGAAAUUCAAUAAUAGCAUCCUUGCCCGCCCAUGGAUGGCUACAAGUAGAGGGGGCUAUUUACCAAAGUCACCUGAUAAAAAAUAUGCAAGUACAAGGUAGUAGUUGUCUAGGACAAAAGUAGCACUUGAUCUCAUGCUCAUUCAAUUUGAAGUUUCUUAUGACAUGGGUAAGCAAACAAUUGAAGGGCCUAAAGAAAACAAUGAUGAUUUGAAUUAAUUUGAGGUCCCUACAAAAUUGCAUCAUGUUAUUAGACAAAAACUAUGCAUUUGAUUAAUCAAAGCACAUAUUUAAUAAAAUAUAACUCUAAAUAAACAAUAAGAAAUAUAUUUGAUGCACCCGGACAUUAUAAGUUUUUUAACAUGAGGAGUUAAAUAUUUCUUACUAAUAACUUUUCAUCUUCCUUCCUAAGGAAGAGCAUUUCUUCAGCUUGCUAUCCUGGAGAAGGUCUGAGUGGUAAACUAUUUUCAAGCUAGCAAAGUAAACUUUUCUCUAAAUUCUAUCCAUUACCAACCUUCUUACCACAUGAUGCUAUACCCUCAUGGAUCUCUCCUCAGUUGACAAUGGCUUGGACACCUCAACUAGCAACAACUCUCUUGCUACUAGUGAUGGUGAAGGAAAGCUCCAAUUUCUAGUCAUUUUUUUUUCUUGGGCACCUUUUCCUCACUGCCAGCCUCCUCACCACCAUCACAUGCGUCACCAACAGUGAGAUAUAGAUCUUAUUGAAUGGGGAGAAUUACCAAAUAUGGCCAUUGUUAUGGUCUUGAUCUCGAUGUGGCACCGCACCUACGUGCUACUCGGCGCCAAGGAAGCUAGAUCCAGACGUGCUUGUGCACUCCUUGCCGCUGGGGAGAUAGAUCUAGAUGUGUCGUCGCACCUGCAUGCUCCUCGCUGUUGGGAGAGUUGGAUCAGGACAUGUGUGUCGUCCCUGCGCGCUCCCUGCCAUCGAGGUAGUUGAUUUGGACACGCCGCCCCCCUACGCGCUUCCCAUCGCCAAGGGAGCUCGAUCUGGAUCUAGACACACCGCUACCCCCUGCGCUCCCCACGUCGCGGUGUGGCCUCUUAUCGUCGGAUCUAGAGUGGAUGAGGGUGGAAGGCACCAGAUCAGGAGCUGGAGGUGAUGGAGAGCGCCACCACCGGGCAAUCAGGCCCCGUCCCCCUCGUGCCCACCGCUGGGUAGCCAGCCGCACCCAGGAUCGGAGGUUGCGCACUUACGCCACUGCGGGGGAAGGGAGAGACGAGGGCGACAGGAGAAGUGAGGGUGAGGGUUGGAGAAGUGAGGAGAAACCCUAAGCGCCAUAUGUAUAAGACUCAUAAGAGGAUUGAAUACGGGCUUUGCUAGGCCUUAGUGCCAUUUCGUGAGACUGAAAUGGCGGCCCACCUUCUCGUUUUACGAGG